UACGUAGGCAGCGAGCGUUGUUCGGAGUUACUGGGCGUAAAGAGUGCGUAGGCGGUGCCCUAAGUCUGGUGUGAAAUCUCCCGGCUCAACCGGGAGGGUGCGCCGGAAACUGGGGUGCUCGAGUGUGGGAGAGGCAGGCGGAAUUCCCGGUGUAGCGGUGAAAUGCGUAGAUAUCAGGAGGAACGCCGGCGGCGAAAGCGGCUCUCUGGUCUGUUACUGACGCUGAGGCGCGAAAGCUAGGGGAGCAAACGGG
This 253-nucleotide ribosomal RNA is filed under the name uncultured bacterium. Its description in RNAcentral is "partial 16S ribosomal RNA". It matches the Rfam family "Bacterial small subunit ribosomal RNA", at positions 524 to 776 of the family's 1533-position model. The record is from RNAcentral.